Molecule: ribosomal RNA, 534 nt
Filed under: uncultured archaeon
Lineage: Archaea
Description: bacterial SSU rRNA
Rfam family: Archaeal small subunit ribosomal RNA
Source: RNAcentral
CAGCCGCCGCGGUAAUACCAGCUCUUCGAGUGGUGUGGAUGUUAUUGGGCCUAAAGCAUCCGUAGCUGGCUAAGUUAGUCCUUGUUAAAUCCACCGAAUUAAUCGUGGAUGCGGGGGAUACUGCUUGGCUAGGGGACGAGAGAGGCAGACGGUAUUUUCGGGGUAGGGGUGAAAUCCUAUAAUCCCGGGAAGACCACCAGUGGCGAAGGCCGUCUGCUAGAACGCGCCCGACGGUGAGGGAUGAAAGCUGGGGGAGCGAACCGGAUUAGAUACCCGGGUAGUCCCAGCUGUAAACGAUGCAGGCUAGGUGUUUGGACGGCCACGUGCCGUUCUAGUGCCGCAGGGAAGCUGUUAAGCCUGCCGCCUGGGGAGUACGAUCGCAAGAUUGAAACUUAAAGGAAUUGGCGGGGGAGCACCACAAGGGGUGAAGCUUGCGGUUUAAUUGGAGUCAACGCCGGAAAUCUCACCGGGAGCGACAGCAGUGUGAAGGCCAGAUUAAAGGUCUUGCCAGACGAGCUGAGGGGAGGUGCAUGG